Long non-coding RNA from Suricata suricatta (meerkat), 733 nucleotides. RefSeq lists it as uncharacterized. The transcript has 3 exons. The record is from RefSeq and is a predicted model, not a curated record. Lineage: Eukaryota; Metazoa; Chordata; Mammalia; Carnivora; Herpestidae.
AGAGUCAGCUGCUUAACCGACUGAGCCACCCAGGCGUCCUGCAAAUACUUUUUAUUUAGGAUUGCUUGAAAGCAUAUAGCAGAAGGCAACUAAAUACUCCACCACAGUGCCUAUCAUAAUAUUGCCAAGACAAACUGGACUAAUUUAUGAUAAAAACACUUAUAAAAUGCAUACUGCAACCUAAAUCAACAAGAUCUGCAAGCGAAUUCCACAAGUCUGAGGAAAUAUACAGGAUCAGAUCAGAGACAAGAUCUUCGGCAUCAUCAGCAUUCUCCCAUCCCUGCACUCAGUAAGUCCAGGGACAGAGAUCAUACAUCUAACAUCAGUAGCCCCAAGAGGAAUGGCUCUAAGAGACUGGGAACACUGGACUUUCAGAAGGCUCUAGAAACUGCUGAGGGACUGUCUUCCUUCCUUUAACACAUCUAAUCAAAGGCAUGGAUGGUCAAGGGAGGCCAUAAGUGGCCCUCAAAGAAGUUUCUCGACAAUCACAGAUGGAUUUUCUCGAAAUGGCAGGAGCCACUCAUUUGGAAACCCGAAGGUCCCUGUGCCAAUGGUUCCCAAACCACAUACAGAAAUAGCAGCGCUGAAGAGAAACAUGAAACUUAACAAAUUACCCCCGAAGAAUGUCUCCUUCAGGAAGGGUUAAAAGCUGGGAAAAACAGGAAACUGCACUUGUAGAAGGUUUUUUUGAAAGCAACUAGGCUCACCACUGUAGAAGUCUUUUGAAGUAAAA